GAAAUGCGAUAAGUAGUGUGAAUUGCAGAAUUCAGUGAAUCAUCGAAUCUUUGAACGCACAUUGCGCCCCUUGGUAUUCCAUGGGGCUUGCCUGUUCGAGCGUCAUUUGUACCCUCAAGCUCUGCUUGGUGUUGGGUGUUUGUCCCCGUCUCCGCGCGUGGACUCGCCCCAAAGUGAUUGGCAGCCGGCGUACUGGUCCCGGAGCGCAGCACAUGUCGCGCAAACGAGUGCCUUGGUACGGCGGCGUCCAUAAGCCCCUCUCUCACGCUCUUGACCUCGGAUCAGGUAGGGAUACCCGCUGAACUUAAGC
This 310-nucleotide unclassified non-coding RNA is filed under the name plant metagenome. Its description in RNAcentral is "partial contains 5.8S ribosomal RNA, internal transcribed spacer 2, and large subunit ribosomal RNA". The stretch from base 1 to 105 matches the Rfam family "5.8S ribosomal RNA", at positions 50 to 154 of the family's 154-position model. The record is from RNAcentral.